UACGUAGGGGGCAAGCGUUAUCCGGGUUUACUGGGUGUAAAGGGAGCGUAGACGGCCAGACAAGUCUGAAGUGAAAAUCCAGCGCUUAACGUUGGAAGUGCUUUGGAAACUGCCGGGCUGGAGUGCAGGAGGGGCAGGCGGAAUUCCUAGUGUAGCGGUGAAAUGCGUAGAUAUUAGGAGGAACACCAGUGGCGAAGGCGGCCUGCUGGACUGCAACUGACGUUGAGGCUCGAAGGCGUGGGGAGCAAACAGG
RNAcentral lists this ribosomal RNA (253 nucleotides) under uncultured bacterium. Its description in RNAcentral is "partial 16S ribosomal RNA". It matches the Rfam family "Bacterial small subunit ribosomal RNA", at positions 524 to 776 of the family's 1533-position model. The record is from RNAcentral.